UACGUAGGGGGCAAGCGUUGUCCGGAAUCAUUGGGCGUAAAGCGCGCGUAGGCGGCCCGGUAAGUCCGCUGUAAAAGUCGAGGGCUCAACCCUCGAAAGCCGGUGGAUACUGUCGGGCUAGAGUACGGAAGAGGCGAGUGGAAUUCCUGGUGUAGCGGUGAAAUGCGCAGAUAUCAGGAGGAACACCCAUUGCGAAGGCAGCUCGCUGGGACGUUACUGACGCUGAGACGCGAAAGCGUGGGGAGCAAACAGG
RNAcentral lists this ribosomal RNA (253 nucleotides) under uncultured bacterium. Its description in RNAcentral is "partial 16S ribosomal RNA". It matches the Rfam family "Bacterial small subunit ribosomal RNA", at positions 524 to 776 of the family's 1533-position model. The record is from RNAcentral.